AACAUCGCGCACCUGCGGGAACCUGCGGAAGGAUCAUUACAGAGUUGCAAAACUCCCUAAACCAUUGUGAACGUUACCUAAACCGUUGCUUCGGCGGGCGGCCCGGGUCCCUCCCGGCGCCCAUCGGCCCUCGCGGGCGCCCGCCGGAGGUAAACCAAACUAUUGCAUUGUAUGGCCUCUCUGAGUCUUCUGUACUGAAUAAGUCAAAACUUUCAACAACGGAUCUCAGAUCGGAAGAGC
This 240-nucleotide unclassified non-coding RNA is filed under the name soil metagenome. Its description in RNAcentral is "partial contains 5.8S ribosomal RNA, internal transcribed spacer 2, and large subunit ribosomal RNA". The record is from RNAcentral.